GAUGUGAAAUCCCUGAGCUUAACUUAGGAAUUGCAUUCGAUACUGGGAAGCUAGAGUAUGGGAGAGGAUGGUAGAAUUCCAGGUGUAGCGGUGAAAUGCGUAGAGAUCUGGAGGAAUACCGAUGGCGAAGGCAGCCAUCUGGCCUAAUACUGACGCUGAGGUACGAAAGCAUGGGGAGCAAACAGGAUUAGAUACCCUGGUAGUCCAUGCCGUAAACGAUGUCUACUAGCCGUUGGGGCCUUUGAGGCUUUAGUGGCGCAGCUAACGCGAUAAGUAGACCGCCUGGGGAGUACGGUCGCAAGACUAAAACUCAAAUGAAUUGACGGGGGCCCGCACAAGCGGUGGAGCAUGUGGUUUAAUUCGAUGCAACGCGAAGAACCUUACCUGGUCUUGACAUAGUAAGAACUUUCCAGAGAUGGAUUGGUGCCUUCGGGAACUUACAUACAGGUGCUGCAUGGCUGUCGUCAGCUCGUGUCGUGAGAUGUUGGGUUAAGUCCCGCAACGAGCGCAACCCUUUUCCUUAUUUGCCAGCGGGUUAAGCCGGGAACUUUAAGGAUACUGCCAGUGACAAACUGGAGGAAGGCGGGGACGACGUCAAGUCAUCAUGGCCCUUACGACCAGGGCUACACACGUGCUACAAUGGUCGGUACAAAGGGUUGCUACCUAGCGAUAGGAUGCUAAUCUCAAAAAGCCGAUCGUAGUCCGGAUUGGAGUCUGCAACUCGACUCCAUGAAGUCGG
RNAcentral lists this ribosomal RNA (739 nucleotides) under uncultured bacterium. RNAcentral describes it as "bacterial SSU rRNA". It matches the Rfam family "Bacterial small subunit ribosomal RNA", at positions 591 to 1329 of the family's 1533-position model. The record is from RNAcentral.